UACGUAGGGUGCAAGCGUUACUCGGAAUUACUGGGCGUAAAGCGUGCGCAGGCGGUUGUGUAAGACAGAUGUGAAAUCCCCGGGCUCAACCUGGGAACUGCAUUUGUGACUGCACGGCUGGAGUGCGGCAGAGGGGGAUGGAAUUCCGCGUGUAGCAGUGAAAUGCGUAGAUAUGCGGAGGAACACCGAUGGCGAAGGCAAUCCCCUGGGCCUGCACUGACACUGAUGAGCGAAAGCCAGGGGAGCAAACGGG
This 253-nucleotide ribosomal RNA is filed under the name uncultured bacterium. Its description in RNAcentral is "partial 16S ribosomal RNA". It matches the Rfam family "Bacterial small subunit ribosomal RNA", at positions 524 to 776 of the family's 1533-position model. The record is from RNAcentral.